Molecule: non-coding RNA, 75 nt
Organism: Scenedesmus sp. NREL 46B-D3
Lineage: Eukaryota; Viridiplantae; Chlorophyta; Chlorophyceae; Sphaeropleales; Scenedesmaceae
Source: the annotation of a GenBank genome assembly
AAUUGGGUAGUUUAGUGGUAGAACACCGGCAUGGUAUGCUGGAGACCCGGGUUCGAAUUUUGUCAUGCCCACUCA